Molecule: transfer RNA, 68 nt
Filed under: Buccinum tsubai
Lineage: Eukaryota; Metazoa; Mollusca; Gastropoda; Neogastropoda; Buccinidae
Description: tRNA-Asn
Source: RNAcentral
UAGAUGAAAGCCAAAGUAGAGGCGCCUAGCUGUUAAUUAGGAAAAUGUAAUUUAAAUUACUUGUCUAG